GAUGAAGAACGUAGCGAAAUGCGAUAAGUAAUGUGAAUUGCAGAAUUCAGUGAAUCAUCGAAUCUUUGAACGCACAUUGCGCCCCCUGGUAUUCCGGGGGGCAUGCCUGUCCGAGCGUCAUUUCAACCCUCAAGCCCCCGGGCUUGGUGUUGGGGAUCGGCGAGCCUCCGCGCCCGCCGUCCCCUAAAUCUAGUGGCGGUCUCGCUGUAGCUUCCUCUGCGUAGUAGCACACCUCGCACUGGGAAACAGCGCGGCCACGCCGUUAAACCCCCAACUUCUGAACGUUUGACCUCGGAUCAGGUAGGAAUACCCGCUGAACUUAAGCAUAUCAAUAAGCGGAGGA
RNAcentral lists this unclassified non-coding RNA (343 nucleotides) under soil metagenome. Its description in RNAcentral is "partial contains 5.8S ribosomal RNA, internal transcribed spacer 2, and large subunit ribosomal RNA". The stretch from base 1 to 120 matches the Rfam family "5.8S ribosomal RNA", at positions 35 to 154 of the family's 154-position model. The record is from RNAcentral.